GGUGAAAAGCGCAGCAGGAAUGUAAUUAUAAGCUGUAGUUUUGUUACAAGAAUGCUGCUCCUCCCUUUUGCCAUAAUAAUGUAUGUUGAUUUUGCUUUCAUGUUUGAUUGUGCAAAUGACGAAGUCUGAAGUAAAAAAAGAAUUAAAGUUAAAACCAGUGUUUCCAACCCUCCCGGUCCCGCCCUAAGUUAUUAAAGUCAGAGAAGCUCUAACACCUCCAUCAUUUAUCCUAAACUCCUAGAACAUCUCACACACAGGUAACAAAAACUGCACGAUUAACAGAUACAUAAGCACAUAAAGAUCACGGAUGAGGAGUAAAUGGAUUUAUGUGGCUAUCCUGGGGAUAGCAUGCAUGAUGCUUGGAGUCAAUGGGAGCAAUACAACAAGCAGUAGCAACUCUACAGACAGCUGGAUAUCUUCUAACAUGACCACCAGCCUGACCCAGACGCUACCAACCAACAUGACCACCAACCUGACCCAGACACUACCACCCAACAUUACCACCAACCUGACCCAGACGAACCCACCCAGCAUGACCACCAACCUAAACCAGGACAUCACUGGCAGGGAUAACUGCAGGAGGGAUAGGGCAUGUUUCUCCGCUCCACCUUCCUGUAAUCCAGGUGCAGAAGGUUCCUGCUAUUUUCUUUCCACAAGAGGAGUAAGCGGAAAUGCAGAUAAUUUUACUUUUGAGCUGAGUGGCGAGACAGAUGGUUACAUUGGAGCUGGCCUCUCUCGAGACAGCAGUGGUCAAGGUGCCACCGUCUAUUCUUGUGCCAAAUUCAAUGGUGCACUGAGGUUAAUUCGUUCCACACUAAACAAUCAAAUAUUGAUGCAGGAUAAUACGUUUAUCCCUGGAAGCUUCCGAGGCUCAGUCAUUGGUAGAAAGAUUCAAUGCAUUUUCAAUGCUGCAGGUCUCAGCAGCACCACCCGUUCUGCAACCACAGACACUUUUGUCUUCCUUUUAACAGGCAGCAUAUCAAAUGGUUCUCUGGAUUCUCCAGUCAGUAGACUGACCACAAAUGGGUCAGUGGACUUAAGCAACCCCAACAGCACAGACGUUUCAGUAAUAACACCCAGUACAAAUGCCACUGCAUCUAAUACCACAGCAACAUCAACCACCACUGCAGCAUCUACAAACUUGACCCAGACGGAUAUCACUGGCAGGGAUAACUGCAGGAGGGAUAGAGCAUGUUUCUCUGCUCCACCUACUUGUAAUCCAGGUGCACAAGAUUCCUGUUAUUUCCUAUCUGCAAAAGGAGUAAGCGGAAGUGCAGAUAAUUUUACCUUUGAACUCAGUGGCGAGUCAGAUGGUUACAUUGGAGCUGGCCUCUCUCGAGACAACAGUGGUCAAGGAGCCACUGUCUAUUCUUGCGCCAACAUCAAUGGUGCACUGAAGUUCUUCCGUUCCACACUGAACAAUCAAAGACUGGCUCAGGAUAACACUUUCAUCCCUGGAAGUUUCCGUGGUUCGGUGAAUAGAGGAAAGAUUCAGUGCAUUUUCAAUGCUGCAGGUCUCGGCAGCAUCACUCGUGCGGCAACCACAGACACUUAUGUCUUCUUUUUAACAGGCAGUGUCUCAAAUGGCUCUCUGGAUUCUCCAGUCACUAGACUGACUACAAAUGGGUCAGUGGACUUAAGCAACCCUAACAGCACAGAUGUUUCAGUAAUAACACCCAGUACAAAUGCCACCACAACAGCCCCGAACAUCACCACAUCUAGUUCCUCUUUAGCAUUAAACACCACUACAGCCCCGAACACCACCGCAUCUAAUUCCACUGCAUCCUCAAAUACUACUGCAUCAUCAAAUGCCACUGCAUCUAAUGCCUCUGGAUUAUCUACAGCUAAUAAUGUUACAACAAAUGAUAAGGUCACCAAGGACAACUGUAAAAAGGACAGGGCAUGUUUCUCCACUCCAGCCAACUGUGAUCCAUCAAGCUCAAGUAGCUGCAUUUUUGCCUCCACAAGAGUGGUGAACGGAAACUUAGACAAUCUCACUUUUGAGCUCAGUGGGGAUUCAAAUGGUUACAUCGCAGUUGGCCUGUCUCGAGACAAGAAGGAGGUCUGAAAAUGAUGAAAUUUAUUUCUCAUAUAUGUCCAUGCUUAAAAAUAAAAAUCCCUUUGUUAAAAAUGUGAUUUUGGAAAAACAAAUCUCAGAUUUGGAUUCUCGGACUUAUUAACCUUUCCUGCUCAUAGGGUGAUGAUGACACUGUCUACUCUUGUGCCAAUGACAAUGGUGUGGCGAAGUUCAUUCGUGCCACUCUGAACAACAACAUUCUGACUCCAGAUAAGACUUUUAACCCUGGAUCCUUCCGUGGCUCUGUGAACGGCACAAGGAUUCAGUGCAUUUUUGUAGCUGCAGGUCUCAGCAGCAACGCCCGUGCGGCAAACACAAAUGCUUUCCUCUAUUUCUUCACUGGCAACUUUACAAAUGGCACUUUAGGGUCUCCAGUCACACGAAUGUUUACAAAUUCAUUGGUUGAUCUAACCAACACUAGCAGCUCAGACGUUGCCAUAAUAACACCCACUACAAGCACAGAUAAUACUACCACUAUUACGACUACUACAGCAAAACCUGCUACUACAGCAGGGAGCAAUGCACUGCAUCAUGCUGCAUCUCAGGCUGCUCUGGUAAUUCUCUCAGGGAUCCUUGCAGUGCUCCUGUUGUAAGGAUUCUGCCAACACAUUUGCUUUCUGAAACUGGUCGAUGAGCACUGAACGCUUGAUGAACCCAACACCAAAGUAUAUGUAAUUCAGCAUAUUUAUAACUGUGCAAUAAUGCGACUCUGGGAACAAUGAAGAAAGAAGCAGAAAAUAUGGGGAAGAGGGCAUUACAUUAUUUAUUUAAUCUUAGUGUUUGUGUGUGAGAGAUUGUGUUUAUGAAUGUUUUUGCGAGCGUUAGUGUUUGUAUUCUGCUAAUGUACUGCUAUUUAAAAUCAGGCUCCUGCACAGAGAGGGCUGAUGAAAAUUAAAAUCAGUAUAUUAAUAUAAUUGUGCAAGUGUGAGCCAUCAUGUGGCUAAAAUGAUCUAAGAUAAUUGUUUUCAAAUGUCUUAAUUUAUUGUUACUGUUGCCUCAAACCAUUGAUUUCCUGUAAGUUAUAAAUAUAGUCUUUUUUUUUUAAUAUGCAUAAUAAAAUGUUCAAGUAAAAAAAAUGAAACUGGUAGAUCAGUGUUUGGACUAA
Molecule: long non-coding RNA, 3182 nt
Organism: Cyprinus carpio carpio
Lineage: Eukaryota; Metazoa; Chordata; Actinopteri; Cypriniformes; Cyprinidae
Source: Ensembl